This 392-nucleotide ribosomal RNA is filed under the name uncultured Gammaproteobacteria bacterium. Its description in RNAcentral is "bacterial SSU rRNA". It matches the Rfam family "Bacterial small subunit ribosomal RNA", at positions 370 to 779 of the family's 1533-position model. The record is from RNAcentral. Lineage: Bacteria; Pseudomonadati; Pseudomonadota; Gammaproteobacteria.
AAUGGGGGCAACCCUGAUCUAGCCAUGCCGCGUGAGUGAUGAAGGCCUUAGGGUCGUAAAGCUCUUUCGCCUGUGAUGAUAAUGACAGUAGCAGGUAAAGAAACCCCGGCUAACUCCGUGCCAGCAGCCGCGGUAAUACGGAGGGGGUUAGCGUUGUUCGGAAUUACUGGGCGUAAAGCGCGCGUAGGCGGAUUAGAAAGUUGGGGGUGAAAUCCCGGGGCUCAACCCCGGAACUGCCUCCAAAACUGCUAGUCUAGAGUUCGAGAGAGGUGAGUGGAAUUCCGAGUGUAGAGGUGAAAUUCGUAGAUAUUCGGAGGAACACCAGUGGCGAAGGCGGCUCACUGGCUCGAUACCGACGCUGAGGGACGAAAGCUAGGGUAGCAAACGGGAUU